CCUACGGAAGGCAGCAGUGGGGAAUAUUGGACAAUGGGGGCAACCCUGAUCCAGCCAUGCCGCGUGUGUGAAGAAGGCCCUCGGGUUGUAAAGCACUUUCAGUGAGGAAGAACGCCUGGUGGUUAAUACCCAUCAGGAAAGACAUCACUCACAGAAGAAGCACCGGCUAACUCCGUGCCAGCAGCCGCGGUAAUACGGAGGGUGCGAGCGUUAAUCGGAAUUACUGGGCGUAAAGCGCGCGUAGGUGGCUUGAUAAGCCGGUUGUGAAAGCCCCGGGCUCAACCUGGGAACGGCAUCCGGAACUGUCAAGCUAGAGUGCAGGAGAGGAAGGUAGAAUUCCCGGUGUAGCGGUGAAAUGCGUAGAGAUCGGGAGGAAUACCAGUGGCGAAGGCGGCCUUCUGGACUGACACUGACACUGAGGUGCGAAAGCGUGGGUAGCAAACAGGAUUAGAUACCCCUGUAGUC
This 465-nucleotide ribosomal RNA is filed under the name Vreelandella stevensii. RNAcentral describes it as "partial 16S ribosomal RNA". It matches the Rfam family "Bacterial small subunit ribosomal RNA", at positions 338 to 795 of the family's 1533-position model. The record is from RNAcentral. Lineage: Bacteria; Pseudomonadati; Pseudomonadota; Gammaproteobacteria; Oceanospirillales; Halomonadaceae.